CAGACGGGAGACAGGAGGUAAGGUUUGGACCCAAAUGCGGGUUAGUUUUCCAGGUACGGUACAGGACACGGGAACAGACAGGGAUCGAAGUCGUGGGCAGGCGUGGCUCUUCCGAGGUGCGGAAGUCUUUCCGAGGGGCGAGGCAAAAAUCAAAACCUAGUGGACGUGCAGGAGAUCAAAAGCCAGUAAAUCGAAGAACAAGGGACAAGAGAUGUAGAGGAGGGAGGAGACAUACUGAAUCACAGGCCAAGCGGGUGAGCUCUGUAAGAUUCCGCAACCCGGUGAGUUGACAGUGCUCCCUUUAUACCUGGCCGGUCUGAUUUGAGGCAGGUGCGUUUUUUUUUUCCAAGAAGCUUUUUUUCAUCAUCUCUGGAAGCAAGACUGCCAUUGUGAGAGACAAAACUUGUAACACACAUAUGAUGGCCCGUGGAAGUGGACUGUGGAUGCAUAUUCAGUGAGUGUGUUUAGUGUGCACACUCUUCAUCCAGCAGCCUAAAAGGGUUUGCAGGUAGUCCAAGCGAAUCACAUUCUCGGCCGAGUGCGCCAAAUCACCCGUUUUUUUCCAUAGCUGCGCCACUGUGUUGGCAUCUUCACACCAAAGCAUACACUGAAACAUGGUAGACAAAGGGAGGAGUUGUAUAGUGCUGGGGCUGGAAUAGCUUGCAUUGUUCUCGGCAGCACUCCUCUUGACUGGUGGAAAGACAACGUACCCAUAGUCCCAGUGCUUUGUCCUCUGGCCAAAUUACACUUGUGUGUCCCUGUCGGGUCAGUGUGUACUGAGCGAAUCUGUUUUACUGAAGGGGACACAGUGGCAGCACAGAUGACUCCAGUACUUCUUGACUGUGUGGACAUGAUAAUGUUUUGAAGAAAAAAAAUGUAUCAUUAUUCCAACACUUUGAAGCCAUCUUUGAAGAAAUUGUGGAGUACAGAGGAGAUUUGGAGAGAGGUGGCUCUGAAAGAUCUAGUGAGAUCAAGUGUUUCGAGACCAGACAAACAUGCAGAACAUACAGUACAUGAGAAUGCGCACAGAUCCCGCUCAGCAACAAGACGGCCUGACAAGAGAGAUGCUGAUGCUGCUCCUCCUGCCUGUGACCACAUCCUCCUCACACUCAGAGGCGAGGCCAUGAGUAGCACAGUCCUUGCUGAAAGGAUACUUUUCUUACUCACCCUGCUAAAUAUAAUUAUGGAAGUUAUACGCCAUCAAACACAUUUCCCUCACAAUGUAUGCAAACAUACCAUUUAAGGCCUGUGAACCAAAACAGCCCUGGGGUCCACAUAUGGGCCAAGUGGGCACUGUGGCUCCUGUAAUGAUCAUUUCAUUGCUUCCUCAAGGUGAAACGUACCUACAGCAAUAUCUCAGUUUGAGUCGUGCGUCUAACGCGUCAGCUGGUCAGUCCGAAAAGAUUAAAUGACAAAGAUGACACAUGUUCACCUUGAGGUGUAAUUAAUUAUGAAACAAGAAACAGAUAAUAUAAUAAAAUAGUAUCAUGUUAUAGUACA
This 1500-nucleotide long non-coding RNA is filed under the name Scleropages formosus (Asian bonytongue). RNAcentral describes it as "lncRNA (ENSSFOG00015030966.1)". Lineage: Eukaryota; Metazoa; Chordata; Actinopteri; Osteoglossiformes; Osteoglossidae. The record is from RNAcentral.